GAUGAACGCUGGCGGCGUGCUUAACACAUGCAAGUCGAACGAUGAAGCCCAGCUUGCUGGGCGGAUUAGUGGCGAACGGGUGAGUAACACGUGAGUAACCUGCCCUUGACUCUGGGAUAAGCCCGGGAAACUGGGUCUAAUACCGGAUAGGAGCGCCUGUCGCAUGACGGGUGCUGGAAAGAUCUUUCGGUCAUGGAUGGACUCGCGGCCUAUCAGCUUGUUGGUGAGGUAACGGCUCACCAAGGCGACGACGGGUAGCCGGCCUGAGAGGGUGACCGGCCACACUGGGACUGAGACACGGCCCAGACUCCUACGGGAGGCAGCAGUGGGGAAUAUUGCACAAUGGGCGAAAGCCUGAUGCAGCGACGCCGCGUGAGGGAUGACGGCCUUCGGGUUGUAAACCUCUUUCAGUAGGGAAGAAGCGAAAGUGACGUACCUGCAGAAGAGCCCCGG
RNAcentral lists this ribosomal RNA (453 nucleotides) under Micrococcus luteus. RNAcentral describes it as "bacterial SSU rRNA". It matches the Rfam family "Bacterial small subunit ribosomal RNA", at positions 28 to 496 of the family's 1533-position model. The record is from RNAcentral. Lineage: Bacteria; Bacillati; Actinomycetota; Actinomycetes; Micrococcales; Micrococcaceae.